This 949-nucleotide unclassified non-coding RNA is filed under the name Hevea brasiliensis (rubber tree). The record is from RNAcentral. Lineage: Eukaryota; Viridiplantae; Streptophyta; Magnoliopsida; Malpighiales; Euphorbiaceae.
UGGAGGGGAGCUUAUAUAUUUUGAAGUUGAUAUGACUGGCCAGUUGAUGGAAGUUGAGAAGCAUGAGAUGUCAGGUGAUGUAGCUUGUCUGGACAUUGCCCCUGUUCCUGAGGGAAGACAAAGGUCCCGUUUCCUUGCAGUUGGAUCAUAUGAUAACACUAUCCGUAUCUUGUCUUUGGACCCUGAUGACUGUAUGCAGGUUCUGAGCCUGCAAAGUGUAUCUUCACCGCCAGAGUCUCUCCUUUUUCUUGAAGUUCAGGCCUCUGUUGGUGGAGAGGAUGGUGCAGAUCACCCUGCCAGCCUUUUUCUUAAUGCUGGUUUACAAAAUGGUGUUUUAUUCAGGACUGUGGUGGAUAUGAAUGGUGGGCAGCUUUCAGAUGCACGCUCACGUUUCUUGGGGCUUAGAGCCCCUAAGCUCUUCUCCAUUGUUGUGAGAGGACGGCGUGCUAUGCUCUGCCUAUCAAGUAGACCAUGGUUAGGUUACAUACACCAAGGGCAUUUUCUUUUGACACCUUUAUCAUAUGAGAGUCUUGAAUUCGCAGCCUCGUUUUCAUCUGAUCAAUGUGCAGAAGGUGUGGUAGCGGUUGCAGGGGAUGCGUUGAGAGUCUUCACGAUAGAGAGAUUGGGUGAGACUUUCAAUGAAACAGCUAUACCCUUAAGGUAUACACCAAGAAGGUUUGUUCUUCAACCCAAAAAAAAGAUGGUGAUAAUGAUUGAGAGUGACCAGGGAGCAUAUACUGCAGAAGAACGUGAAGCUGCCAAAAAAGAGUGCUUUGAGGCAGCUGGGAAUGGUGAAAAUGGAAAUGCAGAACAAAUGGAGAAUGGUGAAGAUGAGGAUGAUAGUGAUCCACUAUCUGAUGAGCAAUAUGGUUAUCCUAAGUCGGAGUCAGGAAGAUGGGUUUCCUGCAUCAGAGUCCUUGAUCCAAGGACAAUGCAAACCACUUGUCUG